CCUACGGGGGGCUGCAGUGGGGAAUAUUGCGCAAUGGGCGAAAGCCUGACGCAGCGACGCCGCGUGCGGGAUGAAGGCCUUCGGGUUGUAAACCGCUGUCGGGAGGGACGAAGUUCUGACGGUACCUCCAAAGGAAGCACCGGCUAACUCUGUGCCAGCAGCCGCGGUAAUACAGAGGGUGCAAGCGUUGUCCGGAAUCACUGGGCGUAAAGGGCGCGUAGGCGGCCUGGUAAGUCGGGGGUGAAACGCUGCGGCUCAACCGCAGCACUGCCUUCGAGACUGCUGGGCUUGAGCACGGUAGAGGCUGGUGGAAUUCCCGGUGUAGCGGUGGAAUGCGUAGAGAUCGGGAAGAACAUCGGUGGCGAAGGCGGCCAGCUGGGCCGUUGCUGACGCUGAGGCGCGACAGCGUGGGGAGCAAACAGGAUUAGAUACCCCAGUAGUC
This 442-nucleotide ribosomal RNA is filed under the name uncultured bacterium. RNAcentral's name for it is "partial 16S ribosomal RNA". It matches the Rfam family "Bacterial small subunit ribosomal RNA", at positions 338 to 795 of the family's 1533-position model. The record is from RNAcentral.